AGUGAACGCUGGCGGUAGGCCUAACACAUGCAAGUCGAACGGCAGCACAGUAAGAGCUUGCUCUUACGGGUGGCGAGUGGCGGACGGGUGAGGAAUACAUCGGAAUCUACUUUUUCGUGGGGGAUAACGUAGGGAAACUUACGCUAAUACCGCAUACGACCUACGGGUGAAGGCAGGGGAUCUUCGGACCUUGCGCGAUUGAAUGGGCCGAUGUCGGAUUAGCUAGUUGGCGGGGUAAAGGCCCACCAAGGCGACGAUCCGUAGCUGGUCUGAGAGGAUGAUCAGCCACACUGGAACUGAGACACGGUCCAGACUCCUACGGGAGGCAGCAGUGGGGAAUAUUGGACAAUGGGCGCAAGCCUGAUCCAGCCAUACCGCGUGGGUGAAGAAGGCCUUCGGGUUGUAAAGCCCUUUUGUUGGGAAAGAAAAGCAGCAGGUUAAUACCCCGCUGUUCUGACGGUACCCAAAGAAUAAGCACCGGCUAACUUCGUG
Molecule: ribosomal RNA, 492 nt
Filed under: uncultured bacterium
Lineage: Bacteria
Description: partial 16S ribosomal RNA
Rfam family: Bacterial small subunit ribosomal RNA
Source: RNAcentral